UUUAAUGAAAUAGUAAUCAAUACAUAUUAUUAAAUAGAAUGAGAUUUCUUAUCAGACUGUAUAUCUAACAGAAAAAUCUUCUGAAUUCAUAUUUAACUUUUCUUAGAUAUCAACUAACUUGCCCUCAUAUUGUUUUUUUAAAUAAAUAACACAUGUUUUACUAACUAUUAAAUUAUUUAGAGUUUUAUCGUGCAGAGGAAUGUUAUAGUAAGUAAUCUGAUUUUACUUAACAGUUAUGAAAAAUAAAUUACUUAGAGCUCUAGUUCUCAGUACAAUAAUAUGUUAAUUGAUGACCUACUAAUUUUUAAUUAUUUAAAAUUAAUAUGAAGUGGAAAAUAACAAAUCACAAUAAUCUGAAAAUUGUGUGGAAGAACUUAAGAAAAUGUUAUCGAAUUAUAUUCAGUUGAAAAUUCAUAAAAAUUGUAUAUAUAUAUAAGAUUUAUAUCCAAGAUUUUAAAAUUUAAUCGAAGGUUCCUCCCAAGUUUUACAUCAGAGCGACUUAAUCUUACUAGCUUUUUUUAAUAUAAUCUGAAUUUAUUACUAGUUCGCAUACAAUUUGUUGCGACGUGUCAGUUAAGGUUAAAAUUAUGAUUAUCUCUAUGUAUAAAUUAAUGUUACUUUAACAAAAAUCAAAGCAGUGCCGAAACAAUUUGAGUUAUUGAAUUUAAAUUUUGAGGAUGGAUUAAUAUUCUAAUGUCGAGUUCCAUUAAGAAAGGAUUUUUCAAAACUUAGAUUUUAAAGGGUCCAAAAAAAAUGGUUAACAUACAAAGUGUAUACCUAUAUAUACAUAUUUUACGGCACGACGACCUGUGGGUUUCUAUAGCGACAUGCAAAAAUAUAUUUUCGUCCGUCUAACUACGUGUUUGAUCGGGGUGUAGAUGUGAAUUGUUAUGAGAACUAGAACUCUACAAUCUAUCUACAUUUGUCUAUGUAUAUAAUUAUAAAUCCCUAUUUCCCUUAUUCGAGGCAUCACGCUCAUCGCUAAUCAUUUAAAACAGAUAAAUCUAUCUUCUAUUUACGAUAUACAACAGUUAAUAUAUAAUUUCUUAGUGAUCAUUUUGCAGUGGAUGCAACCGGAAAAUUAAUGAAGAAUUUCACAAUGGGUUUUUUGAUAAGUGUUUGUUCAUCACGGUUAUUGAAAACAAUCAUGCUUAAAUCUUAAACAAACUUACAUCACCCGCGGGCCUCCGCGUAAUUCAACAUUGGAAUUUAAUUAAUAACUAAUUUUUCGAGCAAUUUUCUGAUUUAAGACGUAAUAUAUAUAAUACGAAGAGGAAAAUAUUGCCAACAUUUCUAGUAUCACUGCUGAAUGAAGUUCAUACAAUGCUGUUAACAAAAAUCUAAGCUAAAGUCAUAUUAGGAUUAUAAACAUCUUUAUCGAAAUCUAUAUGAUUUUUGCUAAUGUUACAUAUACUUAUUUUAAUUGGCUAACUUUUUUUAUAUUCAUAACUAUACGAUUUUAUAUAAACUUAGAGCAAUAUGUGUGAUCGCCGAUGGAGCUCUUAAUGCACAGUUAGCCCCAAAGACUCGUACUUACAAGUAGGAUGGUAAAACUAUAAAUAAAAGGAACUCAAAUUUGAUGGUAUGAUAAUGAUGAUAUAAUAAUAUGUAUUAAAUAAUUCAUAAAAAUUGGGGUGGACGUCUCCACAGUAACACUAAUAAUAAUAAACGCCGGCAAACACAGGGCUUGCGUACGUAUACAAGUAACAAAUUACAAUAAAUUAUAAUAAAACCGUAACUAGGUCACGGGGACACGUAAAUUAAACAAUAAUAAUAACAAAUAAUGAUGAUACGACCGUGAUAUGUGUGAAGAUAAUGAAUAAUUGAUAACUCAAUUCCACCAACCAGUCGACCAGUAGUACCGCGAUAUUGGAUGUUGACAGGUCCAACGAUACUUGUUCGAUGACGACAGCGUUGAACCGGUCGGUUUCGACCACGAGCAAAACCACGUGAUAAUUUAAAUAACGGACGCACUAUAUUGCACGGUGCACUGUGCUGACUUCAGUCUAAAAGACAGCCGAAUCGGACUUAACCCAUACAGCCAUUUCAUGAGUAACUCGUGCAGUCGUGCACAGUAUUACGAUCGCAACGACGCACGGGCUCGAUAUGCCGUGGUAACGCCAAAACGCACGCGAGAACAACACUUAGGUACGCGGCAGUGCGGCUACGAACUUGCCGGACGUACGGCGAGAGAGGCGACAACAGACAGAAAAGCGCCGACGCCGGACACACGACGGGCGGCUCGAACGGACAUCAGACGCAACACGGACGCCGUCGGCGUCCGUCGGUUCGCGCCGCCGGUGACAUUACGCGUACUUAUCUAUCAACCGCUGUUAUCGGCUGAAGCGCGGAUUGGGUACAUCAUUAUUGUUUACGGAGACGGCCCGACAUACGAGUCGCGAACAAUGUGUAUAAGCUCAAACUUUGAAGGGAAGUUUCGAAGAUAUUACAUGGUCGGAAGUUCUAAAUGGAAUUAUCCAUUCGUUUAUCUUCUACAAUGUAAUGAUAUCAUUGAAUUCAAAUUUCAUAACAUCUUUAACAGCGACCUCUUAGACACCUACUGUAAAAAAAGGCCACAGUCACUUACAAGCUUUUUUUUUUUAAGCUCCAGAGAUUUAUCUAUCAACAAAGAAAUUUUGUAAUGCAUACAGGAAGAAUGAAAAUUUGUAAUAUGAUCCAGUGGUUUCUAAAAGUAGAGGUUUCAAUUGCUUCAGAUAUACUUUCUACUUCAUCUGAAUAUUAUAUUGAUUUUUUGUUUUCGGAAAUAAAUCUUAUUAUUAUAUAACUUAGCUACAUGAUAAUUAUCUAAAUGCAGCUGUUAUAUUUAUUAUGACAGUAAUGUUUGUGUAAAUUACUGAUUCAUUGUCAUCACUCACCGUACUUUUAUGAGUACCUACUUUUACUGUAUUAUUAUUUAUUAUUUUUUUGAAAUAUU
RNA transcript from Myzus persicae (green peach aphid), 2935 nucleotides. RefSeq lists it as uncharacterized. The record is from RefSeq and is a predicted model, not a curated record. The transcript is spliced from 5 exons. Lineage: Eukaryota; Metazoa; Arthropoda; Insecta; Hemiptera; Aphididae.